CUUAGGGACACGAUGAUAUUGCAUCCACAACUAUGUAGGUAACUUAGGGACACGAUGAUAUCACAUCCACAACUAUGUAGGUAACUUAGGGAUACGAUGAUAUCACAUCCACAACUAUGUAGGUAACUUAGGACACGAUAUCACAUCCACAACUACGUAGGUAACUUAGGGACACGAUGAUAUCACAUCCACAACUAUCUAGGUAACUUAGGAACACGAUGAUAUCACAUCCACAACCAUCUAGGUAACUUAGGAACACGAUGAUAUCACAUCCACAACUAUCUAGGUAACUUAGGGAUUUCUAACUAAUUUCGCCAAUUUGAAAUUAUUUAUAAACAAAAUCUGAUUUGAUUAGC
Xenia sp. Carnegie-2017 is the source of this 356-nucleotide long non-coding RNA. RefSeq lists it as uncharacterized. Lineage: Eukaryota; Metazoa; Cnidaria; Anthozoa; Malacalcyonacea; Xeniidae. The record is from RefSeq and is a predicted model, not a curated record. The transcript has 2 exons.